This 23-nucleotide non-coding RNA is filed under the name Cricetulus griseus (Chinese hamster). Lineage: Eukaryota; Metazoa; Chordata; Mammalia; Rodentia; Cricetidae. The record is from RNAcentral.
AGAAGGCAUGUGCGGACGAUGGC